RNAcentral lists this ribosomal RNA (322 nucleotides) under uncultured bacterium. RNAcentral describes it as "bacterial SSU rRNA". It matches the Rfam family "Bacterial small subunit ribosomal RNA", at positions 29 to 369 of the family's 1533-position model. The record is from RNAcentral.
AACGAACGCUGGCGGCAUGCCUAACACAUGCAAGUCGAACGGGAUCCUGGCUUCGGCCAGGUGAGAGUGGCGGACGGGUGAGUAACGCGUGGGAACCUGCCCAUUGGUCUGGGAUAACUGCGGGAAACUGCAGCUAAUACCGGAUGUACCCGAGAGGGGAAAGAUUUAUCGCCGAUGGAGGGCCCGCGUCAGAUUAGGUAGUUGGUGAGGUAACGGCUCACCAAGCCUACGAUCUGUAGCUGGUCUGAGAGGAUGAUCAGCCACACUGGGACUGAGAUACGGCCCAGACUCCUACGGGAGGCAGCAGUGGGGAAUAUUGGAC